Herpailurus yagouaroundi (jaguarundi) is the source of this 1126-nucleotide long non-coding RNA. RefSeq lists it as uncharacterized. The record is from RefSeq and is a predicted model, not a curated record. The transcript is spliced from 3 exons. NCBI's taxonomy places the organism in Eukaryota, Metazoa, Chordata, Mammalia, Carnivora, Felidae.
CCCACCCCUCUCCCUUUACCCCUGCCCCUCCUCCUCACCCUACUUCUUCCCCCACCUUCAUGGGCCUUGGGCCCAGAUAGGCCCCCCCUGCUCCUAGGACAUCUGCCCCCAACCAGCCCUCACCAGGCCUGAUGAUUCCCACACUCCAUCAUGGAAGCCUCGCGUCCCUCCCAGAACUCCUGGGAAGGUGAUGUCCAGCAUCCUGGUGACAUGGUGAACACGGGGGGCACUGGAUGAUGACCAGCAGGCACACAACCAGGAGGGGCACUUCCCUCAGUAUUACUAAUUACAGUAGUUACUGCUCUACGCCAGUCCAUAAUGCCUCACACUUUCAGAAGCUGUUGGGAUCUUUGGUGUGACAGUUAUCAGUUUGUUGCCUCUCAACCCCAAAUCUACCCUUCAUUACCUGCUCCGCAGUAGUAAGAUAGCUCUUUGAAGCAUUUCUCACUUGCAUCGAGAACAAUAUUGAGCCAUGGCAGUAGAUGGCGCUGGAGGGACGCAGCAGGAGGAAGAAACUUCCCUUGCGGGACCCAGCGGGCUUCUGUUUGCUUCAGCUCCUCUGACUGCACCUGCUACCAGAGAUGAACGCAUGGGCACAUCCUCUGCUCUGCCCCAGCUAUGCAUCCAGAUGUGGGCUCACGGCCUCAGGCCUAGCCCAGUGCCCACUUCACUACGGCCCACUUCAUGGACUCUGCAAACCUCAGGCCUCACAUGCCCUGCUGGAGAACAGACCACCGACUCCCCUGGGCACCAGCCUGCCGGCCUCAGCCCACCGGCUCCCGGCGGGAGUGUUUCCAGGGGCCAUCCAGACACGGGCACAAGCACCCCAGGCCUUCACCACUCUGCUUGUAAGUAGGUUCCUGACUUGGACUCUCCCAGGGCACUCCCUGCCAGCCUCUGCCACCAGCAACCCAGAGGGACAUUUGAUGCUGACCUGGAGACCAUCGGCCAGGCCUUGCACAUUUUUCAACAAGGUGUGAAUCCCAGCUUGAAGGAGAGGACCCUCUUCCCAUCUGCUCCCUCUUUGGAUACUCUCCUGCCUUAGAAGGUUCUGUACAGUUCUCUUAGGGUUAUUCCACUGCUAAGGUAAUAAUUUUUAUGAUUAAAUUUUCCGUAUUCAAAUUAC